Molecule: long non-coding RNA, 1319 nt
Organism: Ictalurus punctatus (channel catfish)
Lineage: Eukaryota; Metazoa; Chordata; Actinopteri; Siluriformes; Ictaluridae
Source: Ensembl
UGCUCCUGUGCUUUUUAACCGCAUGCUCUGCUCCGUGUGCUCACAUGCAUGAAGGCGGACAUCUGUGUUUGUGUGUUGGAUGAAUAUGAAACGUGAAAUACGUCCAUUGCGACAUGCAACGCAGCGCUGCAUGGUUACGUGCAAUGUUUUACAUGUCACAUGUUCCCUUUUUUCUGUUUUUGUUUUUAAUGAUGAACCUUUCUGAGCAGGAACAGGUUGAUCUGAAGUUUUGCGUAUUGAAGAAACACUGAGCAAGCAGUGAGGAAAACGUCUCCAGCGCGCAUAGUCUCGUCCUUUAGGCUGAGUCUGUGUCUGUUUGUGUGUGUGUGUGUGUGUGUGUGUGGCUGUCCACAGAGGAUGAAAGCUGAUAGGACCUUUCUAGCACACAGUGAGGACUCCCUGUUACAUGGGGUUCAGACCACCACUGAGGCAUAACAGCAGCAUGGUAGGAAGAAAGGGACGAGUGUAUAUAGCAGCAGUACUCAGACGUGUGGUUUGUGAUGUCACACCCAGGGUGGGAAGCAAUUGUUCAACAGAUAAGCAAAAGUGGAUCCAUGUUACAUGUAUAACUAUGGAAAACAUUAAGAAAUGGGCAAAACAGUUGGUACUUGACUCAUUGACUCAAGCUUUAACUUCCCUUUGAUUUCUAUUAUACAAAUUGUCCCAAAAAAUAUCCGUCCGUACAGGAUUUCAGUGAUUUUUGCGGUGGCUUUUAAAAAAAAAAUUGUGAUGCAAUUUUUUGCUUAUUAUUUUUUUGUAGCAAAUGACUUGAAUUGUUGAAAUUGCAAUCGCAUGAAAUUGUUUCGCACGGUCUUUCGCAGUGAUGUCUGUUGGUGAAUGAGACCGUUUAGCUGUACUCGUUCAAACACACGUGACUCGAAGAUGGCUUUGGUUGAAGGCGCGUUGUGAUGUCACGUGAUGCGUCUCGGCCCAAAUCUGCGGUGAUUUCGAAAAAUCGCAAAAAAGUUUGCAUUAACCUCUGUGCUCGCAAAAUCGCGAAAUCCUGGAGGGACUGUUUAAUGACCGCACUUCAUUUAUUUCACCCCAUCAGCAGAAAACAAACUCGCAGCGAAUGUUUUUCAAAAAAUAUAUUUCAUUGUGAUGAUUUCGAAGUGCUCAUUAUCGGCGGGGAGUUCUUUACGGAAUUCACCUGAAAAGCGCGCCACUCUUCUUAAUUCAUCUCCGUCACAUUUCCUCUAAACAGACCUAGCACUGAUUUGUGGUAAUCCUUCAAAAACAUUUCAUCGCCUGUUUUGCGUUGCAUUAUUCACUUCCGGGGCCAUGAAAUCGUGCACGUUUUAGUCAGUCUCUUCAUAUAA